This 296-nucleotide long non-coding RNA is filed under the name Elaeis guineensis (African oil palm). RNAcentral describes it as "long non-coding RNA (EGUI_LNC004568)". Lineage: Eukaryota; Viridiplantae; Streptophyta; Magnoliopsida; Arecales; Arecaceae. The record is from RNAcentral.
GGGCCCACGGGCGGUGUAGGCCAACAGUGGAGUGGGCCAGGCUCGAUAAUGGAGCAGAUACGCAGCCCAGCAUGCGGGCAUGCACGGGCCAGCCUAGCGGACGCUCGAGCGCGCAACCCACAUGCGAGCGCAGCCCAAACCACGUGGCUUACCGCGGUCCACAGGCGAGGCGGUCCAUGUGGGAGUGCGUGGACCAGCAAGGCAUUUCUUGCCUGAUUUCUCACGGUUCAUCAUGGAUCGAUGUUGGUUUUCCGCUAGUUUCUCAUGGUUUAUGGGUGUUCUCAUGAACUGAUGCA